GACGAACGCUGGCGGCGUGCUUAACACAUGCAAGUCGAACGCUGAAGCUCAGCUUUUGUUGGGUGGAUGAGUGGCGAACGGGUGAGUAACACGUGAGUAACCUGCCUCCUUCUUUGGGAUAACGCCCGGAAACGGGUGCUAAUACUGGAUAUUCACUGGUCUUCGCAUGGGGGUUGGUGGAAAGGGUUUUUCUGGUGGGGGACGGGCUCGCGGCCUAUCAGCUUGUUGGUGGGGUGAUGGCCUACCAAGGCUUUGACGGGUAGCCGGCCUGAGAGGGUGACCGGUCACAUUGGGACUGAGAUACGGCCCAGGCUCCUACGGGAGGCAGCAGUGGGGAAUAUUGCGCAAUGGGCGCAAGCCUGAUGCAGCGACGCCGCGUGAGGGAUGGAGGCCUUGGGGUUGUGAACCUCUUUCGCUCAUGGUCAAGCCGCAACAAUGGUUGUGGUGAGGGUAGUGGGUAAAGAAGCGCCGGCUAACUACGUG
This 483-nucleotide ribosomal RNA is filed under the name uncultured bacterium. RNAcentral describes it as "partial 16S ribosomal RNA". It matches the Rfam family "Bacterial small subunit ribosomal RNA", at positions 28 to 507 of the family's 1533-position model. The record is from RNAcentral.